GAUGAACGCUGGCGGCGUGCCUAAUACAUGCAAGUCGAGCGAACAGACGAGGAGCUUGCUCCUCUGACGUUAGCGGCGGACGGGUGGGUAACACGUGGAUAACCUACCUAUAAGACUGGGAUAACUUCGGGAAACCGGAGCUAAUACCGGAUAAUAUAUUGAACCGCAUGGUUCAAUAGUGAAAGACGGUUUUGCUGUCACUUAUAGAUGGAUCCGCGCCUCAUUAGCUAGUUGGUAAGGUAACGGCUUACCAAGGCAACGAUGCGUAGCCGACCUGAGAGGGUGAUCGGCCACACUGGAACUGAGACACGGUCCAGACUCCUACGGGAGGCAGCAGUAGGGAAUCUUCCGCAAUGGGCGAAAGCCUGACGGAGCAACGCCGCGUGAGUGAUGAAGGUCUUCGGAUCGUAAAACUCUGUUAUUAGGGAAGAACAAAUGUGUAAGUAACUAUGCACGUCUUGACGGUACCUAAUCAGAAAGCCACGGCUAACUACGUG
RNAcentral lists this ribosomal RNA (497 nucleotides) under uncultured bacterium. RNAcentral's name for it is "partial 16S ribosomal RNA". It matches the Rfam family "Bacterial small subunit ribosomal RNA", at positions 28 to 507 of the family's 1533-position model. The record is from RNAcentral.